This 492-nucleotide ribosomal RNA is filed under the name uncultured bacterium. RNAcentral describes it as "partial 16S ribosomal RNA". It matches the Rfam family "Bacterial small subunit ribosomal RNA", at positions 29 to 507 of the family's 1533-position model. The record is from RNAcentral.
AGUGAACGCUGGCGGUAGGCCUAACACAUGCAAGUCGAACGGCAGCACAGUAAGAGCUUGCUCUUACGGGUGGCGAGUGGCGGACGGGUGAGGAAUACAUCGGAAUCUACUUUUUCGUGGGGGAUAACGUAGGGAAACUUACGCUAAUACCGCAUACGACCUACGGGUGAAAGCAGGGGAUCUUCGGACCUUGCGCGAUUGAAUGAGCCGAUGUCGGAUUAGCUAGUUGGCGGGGUAGAGGCCCACCAAGGCGACGAUCCGUAGCUGGUCUGAGAGGAUGAUCAGCCACACUGGAACUGAGACACGGUCCAGACUCCUACGGGAGGCAGCAGUGGGGAAUAUUGGGCAAUGGGCGCAAGCCUGAUCCAGCCAUACCGCGUGGGUGAAGAAGGCCUUCGGGUUGUAAAGCCCUUUUGUUGGGAAAGAAAAGCAGCAGGUUAAUACCCCGCUGUUCUGACGGUACCCAAAGAAUAAGCACCGGCUAACUUCGUG